AGUGACAUUAAUAAGUUAACAACUUAAAAAAUAACAUUACUGCGUUUUUUAGUCAGACAGAAUUUAUUUUUUUUUAAGAAACCUAUAAAAAUCAACAAGAAUAUUCAAAAAUUAUUUAUUGACUACAACAUGAAAUAAUACAAAAAGGAUUUUAUCGUCAGUAUAGUAAGAAGACUACUAAAGAUUCAGGCUUAAAGUUACGACCAUCAAAAAUUCAUUUAUAACUUUUAAGUACCUUAAUUAUUUUGAGUCAAGAUUCUUUUACAAAAAAUUAUUUUAAAAAUAAUCAUAAUAAUAAAAUGAUUUGAAACAUUUAAAGAACACAAUGAAAAGCUUAAAAGUUUUUCAGAAGCAAAAUUACAGCCAAUAAAAUUUAAAUAUCAACAGCUUAUACAUAUUAUAGACAAGAUAAAUUUCAUUUUAUACUUCAAGACAAUAUUAAAAUGUUCGAUCAACUUUUAAUGAGAUUACUACAUUACUUUUGACAGAAUAAUGAUGGACAUAUGAUGAAAUAUAACCUUAAGAUUUCAAACUUUAAUUCGAUAAAACUAUAGCACAUUCCAAAAUUAAUAACAGGUUUAAUAAGUCAAAUCUGCCAAGCAACACACAGUGAGAUGUAAAAAAAAACACGUGCAUUAUUACACGUCGUUAAGUUGGUGUCAACAUGCAGCGAUCAACUAAAUGAUAAUGAUCCGCCAAUUGUCAUUGGCGAUGUACACAAUGAAAUAGAGAUAAGAAAUACCGUAAAAACUUCAGAAUCGUUCGUUAGAAAAUUUUAAUUUUAUGUAACGCGUAUGUUUUGUGCGUGUAACACGGUUAUGUUAUAAUAUUAAAUAUUUGUGGUAUUCACAUGAUGCUCGAGAUGUUAUAUUAUUAAUACAAGUAUCAUUCAUACAUUACAAGAAGACAUUUGUCAUCAAUAUACGUCAAAAAAAAAAAAAUUCGGAAAACAAAACAUUUUCAAUGCGGAUCAUCAACGAUAAUAUGACGAG
Molecule: long non-coding RNA, 992 nt
Organism: Daktulosphaira vitifoliae (grape phylloxera)
Lineage: Eukaryota; Metazoa; Arthropoda; Insecta; Hemiptera; Phylloxeridae
Exons: 5
Source: RefSeq, a predicted model, not a curated record